AUUAUUAUUAUUAUUAUUUUGUAUUAAAUUUUUGUGCCACCAAUUGACAAGUUUCAUAUUUUCAGUUAGGCUUUCAUUGUGGAAUCGGCAUGGCAUCAAAAACAGGAAUUUUAUUCCGGAGCGCUUUGUUAUAAUUACUGCAUUACCGCUGUUGCUACUUUUAUUUUUGCUUCCACUGAAUUAGCACAGAGGUGUGCUAUGCCACACACAACACAGCACCAAAGCAAAAAGGAACAGAAAGAAACCUAGUCCCAAAUGCCAACCUCCAUGAAACCAUCUUCAGUAGCACAUCCUCUGAACAUCCCAUUGGAGUUGAACCUACAAGUCACCUCCCCAUUUCUAGACACCGCUAUCAACCCUGCUUUUCCUUCAUCAAGCCUCUCCUUUAUCACAAAAUCCACUGCCUCUAGUAGCCCCAAACCUUUGUACUCCAUCACAGCCGCCACGUCUCUGGCUAGGGUCCCCCGGAUGAUGGCUUCGCCUUCUCCUGUGCAUGAAAUUCCACAAAGGUCACAAGCGUAGGUCCCAGCGCCAAUCAGG
RNAcentral lists this unclassified non-coding RNA (540 nucleotides) under Hevea brasiliensis (rubber tree). Lineage: Eukaryota; Viridiplantae; Streptophyta; Magnoliopsida; Malpighiales; Euphorbiaceae. The record is from RNAcentral.